RNAcentral lists this ribosomal RNA (273 nucleotides) under uncultured Staphylococcus sp. RNAcentral's name for it is "partial 16S ribosomal RNA". It matches the Rfam family "Bacterial small subunit ribosomal RNA", at positions 524 to 796 of the family's 1533-position model. The record is from RNAcentral. Lineage: Bacteria; Bacillati; Bacillota; Bacilli; Caryophanales; Staphylococcaceae.
UACGUAGGUGGCAAGCGUUAUCCGGAAUUAUUGGGCGUAAAGCGCGCGUAGGCGGUUUUUUAAGUCUGAUGUGAAAGCCCACGGCUCAACCGUGGAGGGUCAUUGGAAACUGGAAAACUUGAGUGCAGAAGAGGAAAGUGGAAUUCCAUGUGUAGCGGUGAAAUGCGCAGAGAUAUGGAGGAACACCAGUGGCGAAGGCGGCUUUCUGGUCUGUAACUGACGCUGAGGCGCGAAAGCGUGGGGAGCAAACAGGAUUAGAAACCCGGGUAGUCC